CCACUUCCCAGAUGGCGCGCCCACGACACCCCCCACGUUCGGCCCAGAUGCAACGACCGCUCCGUUCCGGCCCAAGGCCCACAGGGAGGUAAGAAAGGGAUACGGGGCUGAAAACGCCCCUACGGCCCAUUACGGUCCAGAGGUUCGAAAGCUGGCCCGACACGGGUUCGACAGCUGCCUCAGGACAUCCCCCGAGCAAGGGGUGAGAAGGGACGGGUCCGCUAGCGGCCAACACCCAGGCGAGCGAAAGCCAAAGGGCGUCCCGACCUCACGUUCGAGUCCCGCCCGGUAUAAAGUUCAUGGUUUUUCCACGGGGAAAGGCAACGAGCCCCCAGAUCCGGUCGAACGGAUCCGGGAACUAUAUGAACUGGCCGGCGGGAAAUUGGAGUGCGCCACCAGCUUGGCCCGAGCCGGACCCCCCCGAACGGGGACCGGGACUCCACUCGAACCUACCCGUUUGCAGCUCAAACGAGCACCACGGUUCGUCCAACGUGGAUAACGUGGCCCGGCUCAACCCCUCCGUCCUAGAGAAUGGACG
This 538-nucleotide long non-coding RNA is filed under the name Setaria viridis. RNAcentral's name for it is "long non-coding RNA (SVIR_LNC010575)". Lineage: Eukaryota; Viridiplantae; Streptophyta; Magnoliopsida; Poales; Poaceae. The record is from RNAcentral.